CCUUGAUGGCGACCGGCGCACGGGUGAGUAACGCGUAUGCAACCUGCCCGAUACCGGGGUAUAGCCCAUGGAAACGUGGAUUAACACCCCAUAGUACUUUUAUCCUGCCUGGGAUGGGAGUUAAAUGUUCAAGGUAUCGGAUGGGCAUGCGUCCUAUUAGUUAGUUGGCGGGGUAACAGCCUACCAAGACGAUGAUAGGUAGGGGUUCUGAGAGGAAGGUCCCCCACAUUGGAACUGAGACACGGUCCAA
RNAcentral lists this ribosomal RNA (250 nucleotides) under uncultured bacterium. RNAcentral's name for it is "partial 16S ribosomal RNA". It matches the Rfam family "Bacterial small subunit ribosomal RNA", at positions 83 to 334 of the family's 1533-position model. The record is from RNAcentral.